AGUUUGUGAUGUGGGCAGUCUUAGUGGAAAGACUUGAAUCUCUCCCAUGUAUGAUAGAUAUGUUCAUCUUGCUUCUGCUUAAAACUGAAGAUCUCACUCCUUAACCU
Molecule: non-coding RNA, 107 nt
Organism: Capsicum annuum
Lineage: Eukaryota; Viridiplantae; Streptophyta; Magnoliopsida; Solanales; Solanaceae
Source: Rfam